This 159-nucleotide ribosomal RNA is filed under the name Penicillium camemberti. Its description in RNAcentral is "5.8S ribosomal RNA". It matches the Rfam family "5.8S ribosomal RNA". Rfam says of the family: 5.8S ribosomal RNA (5.8S rRNA) is a component of the large subunit of the eukaryotic ribosome. It is transcribed by RNA polymerase I as part of the 45S precursor that also contains 18S and 28S rRNA. Functionally, it is thought that 5.8S rRNA may be involved in ribosome translocation. The record is from RNAcentral. Lineage: Eukaryota; Fungi; Ascomycota; Eurotiomycetes; Eurotiales; Aspergillaceae.
AAAACUUUCAACAACGGAUCUCUUGGUUCCGGCAUCGAUGAAGAACGCAGCGAAAUGCGAUACGUAAUGUGAAUUGCAAAUUCAGUGAAUCAUCGAGUCUUUGAACGCACAUUGCGCCCCCUGGUAUUCCGGAGGGCAUGCCUGUCCGAGCGUCAUUGC